AAUAGAUACCCCGGUAGUCCACGCCGUAAACGAUGAGUGCUAAGUGUUAGGGGGUUUCCGCCCCUUAGUGCUGCAGCUAACGCAUUAAGCACUCCGCCUGGGGAGUACGGUCGCAAGACUGAAACUCAAAGGAAUUGACGGGGGCCCGCACAAGCGGUGGAGCAUGUGGUUUAAUUCGAAGCAACGCGAAGAACCUUACCAGGUCUUGACAUCCCAUUGACCACUAUGGAGACAUAGUUUUCCCUUCGGGGACAACGGUGACAGGUGGUGCAUGGUUGUCGUCAGCUCGUGUCGUGAGAUGUUGGGUUAAGUCCCGCAACGAGCGCAACCCUUGUUCUUAGUUGCCAUCAUUUAGUUGGGCACUCUAAGGAGACUGCCGGUGACAAACCGGAGGAAGGUGGGGAUGACGUCAAAUCAUCAUGCCCCUUAUGACCUGGGCUACACACGUGCUACAAUGGACGGUACAAACGGUUGCCAACCCGCGAGGGGGAGCUAAUCCGAUAAAACCAUUCUCAGUUCGGAUUGUAGGCUGCAACUCGCCUACA
RNAcentral lists this ribosomal RNA (545 nucleotides) under uncultured bacterium. RNAcentral describes it as "bacterial SSU rRNA". It matches the Rfam family "Bacterial small subunit ribosomal RNA", at positions 777 to 1320 of the family's 1533-position model. The record is from RNAcentral.